AUUAGCCAAGCUGGGACAGUAAAACUAAAACAAUAUAUCUUUUCCCUUAUUCUUCAGUUUGAAAGAGAGGCCAGAAAUAUCUAAGAAAAAUGAUUGUGUGUGAAUAAUGCUUCUAAUAUCCAUCAUUUUCACUUUUAUAAAAACUAAAAUGGAAACAGGGGAUUAUGUCAGUUUUCUAGGGUGGCCAUAACAAAGUACUGCAGACCAAGUGGUUUAAAUAGCAAAAAUAUGUUUAUUCCCAGUUUUAGAGAUUAGAAAGUCAAGGUCAAAGUGUUGAUAAGAAGCAGACAGAUGUGAAUAGUACAACAUGAGGUUAAGGAAAUAAUUCUAUAAAAUGGGCCCACUGUGCUGACACCCACAUGUAUUUUCUACCAAGAAGCAAUUUACCUGAAGCCCUACCUGGCCUAAUUGGACAGAAUAUGUCAUUCCUCAGCAAACUACUCGACUUGCAGGAGAAAUGCAAGCCUGAAAUAAUGUUGAUAAGAGGAACCCAAGGUAUCCUGAAGAAGGAGACUUUGACACUUUUCAUAGACCAGAUCCUGAAAUUCGGGGAGAUAAGGAUAAUUCUUCCUAACCAUGAAAUUUGUAAAAUAUUAUGUUUAAGAAUUCAAGAACUAGUCAGCAUGAGCCAAAGUGCAAGAACUAGUCAGCACGGGCCAAAGUGAUCUAAAGUCCUCCUAUGUGUCCAAAAGGACCUGAGGACUUAAAAGUAUGAUGUGAUCUUGCUGUCAAAAAAAAAAAAAAAAAAGAUUUGAACCUCAUUGAGACUCUCUGGAAAUUUCUCUGGGGGCCCCAGUAAAACUAGAGCUCAGGAGAGGCACACUAUCCCUCUAAUAAUAGGAUCUACUCUCUCCCUUGAGAGUGUCCCCUUUCCCUAUCCUUUUAAGAAACUCAUGUCUGUUACUCUGAGUGACAGGUCUGAAAUCUCUGAUUUUUUUCAAUCCCUGAUUCUUGCAAUUAAAACUUCACGCUGCUCAGUUUCCCAGAAGGCCCCAGCUCUGUAACAUGAUCAGGACACUUUCUUCUGAGGUCCUAGGGAUAAAGAUUUUAACAUACAAAUUGAGGUGAAGACAGGAGGGUAUACAGUCUAGCACUAAGAACAAUUAUAAAUGUCACUGGGUUCUUAUUCAAAAUCAUUCUAAAAAUGAACCUAGUCAACUGUUACUUUUAUGAAUGUGAAUUUGAAUCAAAAGGCAUUCAUUUUUUUAUAAUUCAUCCAAAUGAAAAAGCAGGGGUAAAGAAAGCAACAGCUGAGUUGAGUCCAUGGAGGACUUGUGUCUACUCCUCAGUAUUCCAGUGCACCUCUAUGAGUGAUAGCAGGAUUGCCAUUUCAAGUUCAUCGUCAUCACAUGGCUUUCUUUGACCAAUGAGAUGGUAUGCAGAAGUAACUCCGUUUAAUGUUUGAUCAGGUAAAUUGCUGAAGUCAUUAUGGAAAUUCUAAUCAGUAUGAGAAUCCAGUAGUGCCUCAAAUAACCUAACAAGCAGAGACACCCAAGCUGACCCAAAAUAAACAUAAAAUAAUCAAGAAAUAAGUCUAUGUGUCAAGCUAUUGAGAUUUUGAGUUUGCUUGUAACUGCAGCAUACCUGUUCCCUCUUGAUGAGUUCAGUGGGAAAAAUAAUGAUGAUUUCUUUAAUGGUGACAAUAACCAGCCUCACAAACUUAUUAAUUCAACUUAGGUAUGGCAACAUGAACCAAAGUCUCUAUCUACCAGUUAUACCUAAGAGGCCACUAUAGAAAGAUUCAUCAUCUUCAGAUAUGUGAUAAUGUAAACAUUUUGUAUCUUAGAAUUGCUAAAAUAUACAAUGUGAAAAAAGAGGCAGUUUUAUUUUUAUAGUGGUUUAGUGUCUCAUUGUAGCUAGUGUACUUUUCAUUAUUGGCAUAAAUGAGAAAAUAUUUAUGUAUGUAUACCUACAAGUAAAUUGUUUUUCCAUGAAUUGUCCAUUCACAUCAUUUGCGC
This 1958-nucleotide long non-coding RNA is filed under the name Marmota monax (woodchuck). The record is from RNAcentral. Lineage: Eukaryota; Metazoa; Chordata; Mammalia; Rodentia; Sciuridae.